This 232-nucleotide long non-coding RNA is filed under the name Mytilus galloprovincialis (Mediterranean mussel). The record is from RNAcentral. Lineage: Eukaryota; Metazoa; Mollusca; Bivalvia; Mytilida; Mytilidae.
CACCAACAUACAUAAAAACAGACUAUUACUACCAUAUAUCUGACGUGGUAGAGGGCAUCUUAAGAAAAACAUGGUGGGUUAAACCUGGUGUUAUGGCUAGUCAACCCUCCUGCUUAUAUGACAAUGUUAAAGAAAUAUCGAUAAAUUGACAAUAUUAAACAAAUAUCGAUAAAUGACAACAUGUUAACCACAGAAUACCAAUGGUCAUUCCUAAUUAACGACAGAACAGACC